CGCAUCUGUGCAUGCAGCAUAUCAAUAAGCGGAGGAAAAGAAACUAACAAGGAUUCCCCUAGUAACGGCGAGUGAAGCGGGAAGAGCUCAAAUUUGAAAUCUUAAAGGGUUUCCCUUUACGAAUUGUAGUUUAAAGAAGUGUUUUCUGUUGAGGUUUUGGUAAAAGUUCUUUGGGAUAGGACAUCAUAGAGGGUGAGAAUCCCGUAUUUGACCUUUACUUUCAACUUUGUGAUACACUUUCAAAGAGUCGGAUUGUUUGGGAAUGCAGUCCAAAAUGGGUGGUAAAUUUCAUCUAAAGCUAAAUAUUGGCGAGAGACCGACAGCGAACAAGUACCGUGAGGGAAAGAUGAAAAGAACUUCGAAAAGAGAGUUAAACAGUACGUGAAAUUGUCAAAAGGGAAGCGUUUGACACCAGUGUUGUUUUUCUGAAAAUCAAUUAAAGAACUGUUUAUGCUAAGCUGUUUAGACUUUAUCAGCUAACUGUAUAGUUUUGAGCUUUUCUUUAAUGCACUUUUCAGUUAACAAGUCAACAUCAAUUUCUUUUGCUGUAAAAAAGCUUGAGGAAGGUGGCUUGAGAUUCGUCUUAAGUGUUUAUAGCCUCUUGCCUAUGCAGUCGGAGAGAUUGAGGUCUGCAGCGUAGAUCCUUCGGGGCUAAAUGCAUUUGUGCUAAGUUAUAGCAUUUUAUAGACAACUUGUUGACUAUGAUUUGUCUUGUAGCUUACUCGCUUAUGUUAUUUUACCUACGCUUAGGAUGUUGAGUCAUCACACAUCUCU
This 774-nucleotide ribosomal RNA is filed under the name uncultured Neocallimastigales. RNAcentral describes it as "partial large subunit ribosomal RNA". It matches the Rfam family "Eukaryotic large subunit ribosomal RNA", at positions 26 to 614 of the family's 3401-position model. Lineage: Eukaryota; Fungi; Neocallimastigomycota; Neocallimastigomycetes; Neocallimastigales. The record is from RNAcentral.